CCUACGGGAGGCAGCAGUGGGGAAUAUUGGACAAUGGGCGAAAGCCUGAUCCAGCAAUGCCGCGUGAGUGAUGAAGGCCUUCGGGUCGUAAAGCUCUUUUACCAGGGAUGAUAAUGACAGUACCUGGAGAAUAAGCUCCGGCUAACUCCGUGCCAGCAGCCGCGGUAAUACGGAGGGAGCUAGCGUUGUUCGGAAUUACUGGGCGUAAAGAGUACGUAGGCGGUUAUUCAAGUCAGAGGUGAAAGCCCGGGGCUCAACCCCGGAACUGCCUUUGAAACUAGAUAACUAGAGUCUUGGAGAGGUUAGUGGAAUUCCGAGUGUAGAGGUGAAAUUCGUAGAUAUUCGGAAGAACACCAGUGGCGAAGGCGACUAACUGGACAAGUACUGACGCUGAGGUACGAAAGCGUGGGGAGCAAACAGGAUUAGAUACCCUGGUAGUCCACGCCGUAAACGAUGAUAACUAGUUGUUCGGUCACUUGGUGACUGAGUGACGCAGCUACGACAUAUUAUCGUCGUGGAGGUACGGUCGCGAGAGUAAACUACAAUAGAGUAGACGCGUGUAGAGUUGCGAGACGACGACGAGGAGGAGG
RNAcentral lists this ribosomal RNA (590 nucleotides) under uncultured bacterium. RNAcentral's name for it is "bacterial SSU rRNA". It matches the Rfam family "Bacterial small subunit ribosomal RNA", at positions 338 to 956 of the family's 1533-position model. The record is from RNAcentral.